CCUACGGGAGGCAGCAGUGGGGAAUAUUGGACAAUGGGGGAAACCCUGAUCCAGCAAUGCCGCGUGAGUGAUGAAGGCCUUAGGGUCGUAAAGCUCUUUUACCAGGGAUGAUAAUGACAGUACCUGGAGAAUAAGCUCCGGCUAACUCCGUGCCAGCAGCCGCGGUAAUACGGAGGGAGCUAGCGUUGUUCGGAAUUACUGGGCGUAAAGCGUGCGUAGGCGGUUAUUCAAGUCAGAGGUGAAAGCCCGGGGCUCAACCCCGGAACGGCCUUUGAAACUAGAUAACUAGAAUCUUGGAGAGGUCAGUGGAAUUCCGAGUGUAGAGGUGAAAUUCGUAGAUAUUCGGAAGAACACCAGUGGCGAAGGCGACUGACUGGACAAGUAUUGACGCUGAGGUACGAAAGCGUGGGGAGCAAACAGGAUUAGAUACCCUGGUAGUCCACGCCGUAAACGAUGAUAACUAGCUGUCCGGACACUUGGUGUUUGGGUGGCGCAGCUAACGACAUUAAGUUAAUUCCGUCCGUCGGGUAGGUACGGUCGGCGAAGAAGUUAAAACUUAACAAAGGAAAGUUAGUACGGACGUGAGAACGUGCCGAACGGACGACACGAAGGGGAAGGAGG
This 621-nucleotide ribosomal RNA is filed under the name uncultured bacterium. Its description in RNAcentral is "bacterial SSU rRNA". The stretch from base 1 to 521 matches the Rfam family "Bacterial small subunit ribosomal RNA", at positions 338 to 873 of the family's 1533-position model. The record is from RNAcentral.